This 465-nucleotide ribosomal RNA is filed under the name Vreelandella stevensii. Its description in RNAcentral is "partial 16S ribosomal RNA". It matches the Rfam family "Bacterial small subunit ribosomal RNA", at positions 338 to 795 of the family's 1533-position model. Lineage: Bacteria; Pseudomonadati; Pseudomonadota; Gammaproteobacteria; Oceanospirillales; Halomonadaceae. The record is from RNAcentral.
CCUACGGGAGGCAGCAGUGGGGAAUAUUGGACAAUGGGGGCAACCCUGAUCCAGCCAUGCCGCGUGUGUGAAGAAGGCCCUCGGGUUGUAAAGCACUUUCAGUGAGGAAGAACGCCUGGUGGUUAAUACCCAUCAGGAAAGACAUCACUCACAGAAGAAGCACCGGCUAACUCCGUGCCAGCAGCCGCGGUAAUACGGAGGGUGCGAGCGUUAAUCGGAAUUACUGGGCGUAAAGCGCGCGUAGGUGGCUUGAUAAGCCGGUUGUGAAAGCCCCGGGCUCAACCUGGGAACGGCAUCCGGAACUGUCAAGCUAGAGUGCAGGAGAGGAAGGUGGAAUUCCCGGUGUAGCGGUGAAAUGCGUAGAGAUCGGGAGGAAUACCAGUGGCGAAGGCGGCCUUCUGGACUGACACUGACACUGAGGUGCGAAAGCGUGGGUAGCAAACAGGAUUAGAUACCCUUGUAGUC